This 63-nucleotide non-coding RNA is filed under the name Rhodoferax koreensis. Its description in RNAcentral is "Rhodoferax koreense Betaproteobacteria toxic small RNA". It matches the Rfam family "Betaproteobacteria toxic small RNA". From Rfam's summary of the family: Overexpression in amino aid rich medium attenuates growth, suggesting role in repressing amino acid intake and metabolism. The record is from Rfam by way of RNAcentral. Lineage: Bacteria; Pseudomonadati; Pseudomonadota; Betaproteobacteria; Burkholderiales; Comamonadaceae.
UGUCUCCUCCACCCUCCGAAAAGGUGGAUUUAGCCCCAGGUCGCAAGACCUGGGGCUUUUUUC